RNAcentral lists this ribosomal RNA (208 nucleotides) under uncultured bacterium. RNAcentral describes it as "partial 16S ribosomal RNA". It matches the Rfam family "Bacterial small subunit ribosomal RNA", at positions 568 to 774 of the family's 1533-position model. The record is from RNAcentral.
CUCGUAGGCGGUUCGUCGCGUCCGGUGUGAAAGUCCAUCGCUUAACGGUGGAUCCGCGCCGGGUACGGGCGGGCUUGAGUGCGGUAGGGGAGACUGGAAUUCCCGGUGUAACGGUGGAAUGUGUAGAUAUCGGGAAGAACACCAAUGGCGAAGGCAGGUCUCUGGGCCGUUACUGACGCUGAGGAGCGAAAGCGGUGGGGAGCGAACA